ACCCACUCACAAAUCUAACCCAGCGACAAGAAACCCUUCAGAAUUUCUCUACAGUCACAAAAAAUGGCACCACCAAUAACCCAUUAGCCCAAGAGAACAACGACAUUGAUACCAGGGUCCCACCUAGUUCUAACAUAGUACUAAACAACGACGAGAAUGUUUCUUGUGCUCAGAAUUAUUCAGAUGGAGUUUUGGAGAAUUUAGCCUCAGGAAGGAAUGGAUCAGAUGGUAGUCUGAAGUGGGUGUCGACUGCAUUGGAGCCAAACGUCACGGAAAACCUUCUUUCAAGGUGGCUAGCUCCUGAAGGGGAGCCUUGUAGAGGGUCACGUACGGUGGAGAUUGUGAUUCCUGGAUUGGAUGGUAAAGAUUUGAUUGAGUUAACAGCUGGUGAUAGUCAUGAAUUUGGUUUUCAAGCUCUGGAUGAGUCCAAGAAUCUUGUUUGUUCAGGUGGCGAUUAUUUCGAGACUGAUCUUUCAGGGGAGGCAUGGAAAUCAAGGCCUUUAGUCAGGGAUUUUGGAAAUGGGUCUUACUCUAUUUUGCUUCAAGUUCAUCCUGAUUUUUCUGGUGAUUAUAAUCUUACUCUUAUUUUACUCUUUAGGCAUUUUCAAGGUCUUAAAUAUUUUCCACAGAGAGUUGCUUUUGAUAAACAAUUGCGUAAGUUUCGAAUCAAGUUUGUUAAGGGUGGUGCUCAGUUGCCAAAGAUUGAAACUUGUGAAAAAUCUGAUUUCAAUAGAGAUCUUUGGCUAGGAAGGUGGACUAGGCAGGCUAAAAAUGGUGGUUGCCAAAUCAGUAAUGAUGGCCGGUACCGCUGUCUGGCGCCAGAUUUUCCAUGCCAAAGUCCUUGGUGUAGUGGUUCUUUAGGGUUGUUAGAGAGUAAUGGCUGGGUGUAUUCAAGCCACUGUUCAUUUAGGCUUUUCUCAGCUGAUUCUGCUUGGAAUUGCUUGAAGAAUCGCUGGAUUUUCUUUUGGGGUGAUUCAAAUCAUGUUGAUACUAUAAGAAACAUGCUCAAUUUUGUGUUGGAUUUGCCCCAAAUACCAUCAGUUCCUAGACGGUUUGAUAUGAACUUUUCAAACCCGAAAGAUGCAUCUCAAAGUGUUAGAAUUACUAGCAUUUUCAAUGGUCAUUGGAAUGAGACAAUGAAUUAUGAAGGAUUUAAUUCCUUGAUGGAUGAAGGAUUUAGGAAUCUGUUGAAGAAGUACUUCUCAGAGGACACAGUGCCAGACACUAUAAUCAUGAAUUCAGGUUUGCAUGAUGGCGUGCAUUGGCAUAGUUUUAGAGCAUAUUCAGAGGGAGCAGGGUAUGCAGCAUCAUUCUGGAAAGAAGUCAUGGAUUCGGUGAAGCAGAGAGGGUUGGCAGUUCCACAGAUCUUUUACCGGACAACAAUAGCCACUGGUGGGUAUGCAAGAUCACUAGCAUUUAAUCCGAACAAGAUGGAGGUAUUUAAUUGGGUUGCAUUAGAUAAAUUUAGGCGAGCUGGGUUGGUUUCUGGUGUGAUAGAUAACUUUGAUAUGACUUUUCCAUGGCAUUUUGACAAUCGGUGCAGUGAUGGGGUACAUUAUGGCAGAGCUCCAGCUAAGAUGAAGUGGAGGGAUGGUGAAAUCGGCCACCAGUAUUUUGUGGACCUCAUGCUGGCUCAUGUGCUGCUCAAUGCUCUGUGUUCAAGGUAGCAAGUGAAGGAGGCGGUUGAUUUAUUCUCUUGGCUGUCUAUCAACAACGAGGAGCACCUGUUGCCAGCUUCGCGGAACUAGCACAUGUUGGCUCACGAUGCUCUUUCUUGGUUAGGAUUGGCAUUCUUUAUUUGUUUGUAGAUGAUGUAUAUAAUGAGAGGUCAUAAAAUUUUCGAAACACAAUAACUACAGCAUCUAUUAUCUUGUUCUAUUGUAAUUAUUACAUAGAUUUGGCUGGAAUUCAGUGUUCGUUUUUGAAGUUCAAUCACAUUGCAUUGUUGUAAUCUGAAGUAUAAAUCAAUUAAAAAAAAAUACAAAACUCAAUUUUCAAUCAACUAAAUAUAAAAGGAUAAAAUUAAAAAACAAAUCAAUUAACACAUAGGAAAAAAAAACACCAGCAAACCCAAGUAAGCUCACCAAAACCCGCUUGAUUCUCAAACUAAACCAAGAUAACCCAAUACAAGGUAAAAAAAAAAUGUAGUUUGAUUCUCAAACUAAACCAAUUCUUAAUAGGGAAAAUUAAAAAAAAAACCAACCUAAAAAAAGACCUGAGUCAACUCAUCAAACCCUCAAUUAUAUUGGCAUAAAUCAUUGCGAUCUUUAUUUCCUUAUAAUACUCAUCCACUUACUUAGAACCGUGAUGCAGACUUUGUAAUUUUAAAUACAAAUCCCUAUAAUAAUGGUUAUGCACAAAUCGCCUCCUCAUCAACAUUUUGAUCUACUCUCACAACACUAUUGGCCUUUCUCCAUUCCUUCUCUUACCAAUCAUAUUCUGAUCCCACCAAAUCAAUGCAUAUUCUGUAAAUUCAAUGACUACCAUUUCACCUUCCUCGCCUCCAAAUAGCUUCGAUAAUAAAAAAUUCAAUCCAUCUUUUUUUCGCACUCCAAAUACAUAUGAGAUCAUUUUUACCUUGAAAACUGGGUAUUUUCAUCUUAAUAUCAUCCAAAUCACCAUCUACACCAUCAUAUCCAUCAAAGUUAUGGAAUUUCUCUUCUAGCUAAAUUGACCCCUAGUUCUAUUCCUAAAAUCCCUUUGGUUUGUAGGUUUUCGAAAACCUCCCCUAUGGCCUAUGAUCUCAUCCUUAAAACUUACAUUACCAAAAUCAUCAACGUCCUUCUUAAAAUCCACAUAAUCAACCCAUAUUGGCCUUUCGACCAUAAUUUCAUUGUUCGAUUUUGGAUCAGCUCCAACCUUCCUCACAUAUUGGGUAUUAUACCAAUUUCAUUGCCAUAUCUCUCCACCUUCUUAAGUCUAUCACACACGUUCCUCAUCACAAAAUUCACCCUCUCCAUCAUCUUUGUCAAGGCUUGAAUUUGAAACUUUACAUCACCCUCAGGAUGGGGUGGUGUGUUAUUCUAAGCUGACAUUAUUAUACCUGCAAAAAAUUGGUUAGUGAUAUAAAAAAAUUCCUCACGUCGCUCGUGUUUCACUCAAAAUUAGACUUUUCACGCCUUUUACCUCACAACUUGCUUUCUUUCAGUUCUUUCGAAACUGAAAAUCCAACCAAUCAAAGUUAGAUGCUUUUGCAACGCAUUCAAAUUAUGAAUAUAGCCUUAAAAAUUAAUAAAUAUACUAACAAGCAAAGCAAAACAAAACGACGAUUAUAAUUUUGCGAGUAGUAGUCCAAAUUCAUGCGAAUUGUGGACGAAAUGAAGACGCGAAAGAAAACAGAAAUGAAAAUUAAUGAAGACACUUAUUUGACUCCUAAAUAACCCUAAUAUAACAUAAACAAACUGAUUUUGUCAAAAUAAUUCGUAGACAAACAUGUUUUGGAACUUGAUGUAAAUUUGACCUAUUACGUAAUUUUUAAGCACCAGAAUUGAAAAAAAACUAAGAAUAUCAAAAUGACCUUAAAUUAAAUAUGUAGUAUCCCGGUACCCAACAAACUAUAUAUAUCAGUUUAUAGUUUGUUAUCUUAUAUCUAGGUAACAAAACCUGUGUAUGAUGAGUUUGCGGCAAAAUUAAACCCAAAUUAAAACCUCAAGAAAAAGAUAUCAAAAUAAUCCCAAAUUUAAUAUAUAGUGUGAUUUCACCCCUAGUAGUAAAUAUAUGAAAUUUCAAUUAAUUAUGAGGUGUUUUGUUUAGGGUUCUUUAAGAGUUGUGUUUUUGCGUCAGAAUUGUAACAAACUUUGAAUAACGUCUCUUUCUUCUUCUUUUUUGAAUUUUAUGCUACUGAUAUGUUAGAGAUAAUAACAAAACAAAAUAUUGAUUUUUUUUAAUAUUAUGCCGCAGACAUGGAGAAAAAAAAAAGAUUGACGCAAACACCGAAAACUUAACGAACACUAGGAAAACAAAAUUUUCAAAAAGAUAUGACAUGUUCUCAUAGCCUAGCUCUGAUACCAAAUGAUGCAAACCUCAUGAUCAUGUGGUCAUGAAACCCAUAAUUAAUAUUAAGAUCUGAUCCUGGAAAGCCGAAAGAGAUCUAAUAGGAGUGUGACACAAUGGAAACAUGUCCUAAGGCACUAACAUUAUUGGAAUGAAGUUUAAUGAUGUAACGAAGCCAGAUAAUCUUUGAUAAGUCAGAUUCAGUUUGUUCAAGAACCAAAGAAUGCAAUAAGCUCUCUCAUACAUUAAAAUUGAAAAGUUUAGAAGUAUUAUUCAUCAAUGGUCACCAAAAUUUAAGCUUACAUAUGUUUAAAUAGUUCUGAAAAAUUAACUCUAAUGGAUCUACCCUUGUGGGCUGAAUUGACCCAUAUACAAAAACUAACCUAAAACAUGUACUAGUAAGCUCAAACCAUGAUCCAAACAAGCCUUGAAUCCUAACUAAAAAUAAAGUAUUAAUUAAGCCUAAACAAGCCUUGGGUUGGAGCUAACAAAAAAAAAAAAAAGUACAUAAAUGAUAAGUCUUUAUCUACCAUGAGAAGAGAAGAAGAAAAGAAAACAUUGUUGAUCUGAUACAAGACUUAUUUAUAACCUAUAAUGUUGCCCAAUAAUCCAAAGAACUAAAGGAGAAGUUGUUGCCCCUUUGGUUUCCAAGUUAGAAUAGGAAUCUGAUCUCAACCUUGUAUUUAUCCUUCUUUUGAAAGGAAAAGGAUGUUGCCUUUAAUGCUCUUCUUAGUAUCCUUCUAAUAUUAGAAAACACAAUUAAAUUGCUAAAUUAUUCUCCUUGCACAACAAGGAGACUAUGUCAGCCAUGUGUUUCUUAAGUCAGAUUGGAUUCCUUUGUUUCCUCUACUGUGUUUUCUCCUCACUUGACAAGAAAAUAAAAUAAAAAUAAUAAAUUCUACUAUUUAAAAGAAAUAACCAAUGUUCCCAAACAUAAUAGGAAAUCCAAUACUAGUUAGGACUCCACAAAACACAUGGAAACAUCAUAUAACAAGGCUAGCCGAAACUGAUAAAAAUUGGCAGCCUUGUUAUCAAAAUUUCAUGGCCCAAAUAAGGGUGGAUUGGACCCCUCUUACACAUGGAUUAAAUGUACUAAGGUCUCCUCUUGAUGCUCGAAAAGAUCCUUAAGUUCAGCUUUGGCCGAAACUUGCACAACCAGUUCAUUCAAUGACUUCGCUUUGAACCUUCUGAUGGGCCCAUUUGGAACAUGUAAUGAGUCCAUACUGUUCGCAGGCUGAUCCACAUCACUAUUUUAUUUAGAAUUAUGAUUUAUAUGUGGGCCAAUAUAUUAAGGAGCUCAGUAGGUUAUACAUAUAAGAUUUAUUGGUCAGAAACUAAAUUAGAAUAAUUAAUCAAUUGUGACUUGAUUGUAUAUAAGUUUUAGAAAUUAAGAAUUAGAAUGCAAUUAAUAUAUGGUAUCACAAUUCUAGACCUCAAAAAAUCAAGUAGGGACUUGAUUUAAUAAGUUUUUAAAACUAUCCUAAAAUAAUAUAUGUAAUAUUAUUUAGGGGGCAAAUUGAUAAUUCGUUAUUUAUAGGGUUGAUACAUUUUUUCUAUAAAUAGAAUGUUAUGCCUUAUAUCUUAUGAGAGAAGUAUGUUAUAGAACAUACAAUAUUAGCGGUACAAAUGUUACAAAAUAUAUAGUACAAAGAAACAUAUAAAAUAGAAAAAGAAAGAAUUAGCACUCAAAGACAUAGAAAUAUCUCUCUCCUAAAAAGGGUUUUAGUAAAUUUCUCGUUAGUAAUUUGUAUGAAUUACUAUUACAGAUAGGAUAUUUGGAUGACUUAUGGUUUGUUACAACCUAGCCUUAAAUAAGUUGAUCAAACCUCAAAAAGAAGAUAUAAUUUUCAGGUAAUCUUUGUAUAAACAUUAAACGAUCUAAAUUGUCUAACGGGAUCCUAGGAUCUUCCAAAGAAUAUUUUAAAUUACUGUUUUCACUACGUCUAAGAGUUUUGGAAACCCAACACCUUACAACUCAAUUAGCAUCCAUUCCCCUAAGUCUUUUUGUUAUAAAGAAAAAGAGACUUUAGGAUUUGAAUUCAUUCAAAGAAAAAAAAAUGGCAUGUCCUUUGUUUUAUAUUUCUCUUCACUUUUGUUAAAGAUGUUUUUGGCAAUUUAAUAUAAAUUUAAAUUCAAAGGAGUGGGUUUCCAACCACUGUAGCAUACAUUUGAUGAGUACUUAUCUAAUAAAAAUGGCUUUUUUUUCCCUUUUCUCCUCUAUAGAUACUAGUUAAAGUUUAUUUAGAAUAUGCCUAGUUUGAUUCCUUAUCCUAUUAGAGUAUAUCAAUUUUUUAACGCAAAAAGACUUGGGAAUUAUUAACGUUUUUUUUCUAUCAUUAAGAAAAAUUCUAACUGCAAACUAAAAAGUUGAUAUAUACGUUCAUUUAAAUAAAUCAAGAAUUAUAUAUUCUAAUAAAUAAUAAUAAAUCUGUUGAUUUCAAUAGAAGAUUGAGUUGAGAAUUUGAGAUCAUGUAUAUUAAGAUAUCUGAUCUCAUGUUACAGGGAGUUUUUUAAUUGUUUUUUUAGAACAUAGAUAAUUUAAACUUCAUUGAAAAAACCAAUUCUAGCAUAAUUCUUGUUUUUCUUAUUAAUAUAUGUUUUCAAUAAAAAAAAUAUAUAUCUUUUUUUGUCAUGGAUUCUUAAUUUGAUAAAAAAAAAUAAAAAAAUAGAAUAAAUUUUUUUAUUUUUUCCUCAUUCAAUAUGAAUGAGCACAUUAUUAUCAAGAUUCUGCAUAUCAUUCUAAUACAUAAUUAUCCAUAAAGCAAUCGAUAAUAUUAUUGUAAAAAGAAUUUAUUCUUCUUCAAAAUAACAAUAUGUUCCUUCAUAUCAUAGUUAGUAGACUUGAGUUAGGUACACAUGACCUCACCAAGAUCCAUUGAAUGUGAGUGGUGGCCUUUAAACUUAUUUCAUAACAUAACCAAAUGAUAUAGUUCAAAGCCUGAAUUAUAAUAUAUCAUCUUUUCAUGUUCAACACCUGUAUUCUAAGUGUCAGUAUUAGGCUUGUUAGUGGGCCAUAUUUCAAAUCAAUGUCCUAAGUCAUAGUAGUUAUUUUCACCUUCAAUAAGCAAACACUCAUAUAUUAGUUUAUGCAUACCUUUAGCAUACAAGCACAAUAAACAUCUUUUAUCAUUAAAAACAAACACGAAAUAACUUAUCUUAGAUAAGAUGUUUUAUGGUGAUUUUCAUCUUUUCUUUAGCAUAACCAACUCCUUACCUAAAACCUGUAAAACACUAGUUAGGGUUUAUAGUUACCACAAAACUAGAUGAUGACUUCUUUUUUUUUCUUUUACUAUUUUUAUAUAUAGUUCUUUGAAAUAUCCGUUAUAACAUGAUUCACACAAUUCAAUAAUAAAUAUCAAUUUAAAAUUAAUUUGUACAUCAAACAAUUUUUUUUCUAUUUAUAUUCAAAUAAAUUUUAUAAAUUCCAUUCAAAUAUCUACUAACAUAUUAUAAAAUAGACUUAGCUAUAAUAGCUAGCCAUUGUGUUUUUUCCCAUAUCAUUGUCACUAGUUAAAUAGCUCUUUAUUCUAGCAAAAUGAAUAGUGCUUGCUAUAUGUAGCAAUAAAAAAAAAAAGUGAGUUGGUCGCAAGAAAAAAAAGUUGGGUUUAGAUUUUGAUCUGGAGAUGGAGAAUCUACUAGAAUUGAGUCUUGAUCUUUUUUCUUUUUAGGUGAUUUUGUUGUUGGAAAAUCCAAUCUUUUGUCAAGAUUUCCAAAAAAAAAAUGUAUUCAAUUUGGAAUCCAGAUUCACCAUUGGUUUUGAAUUUGCCACUUGUAAUUGUUAAGGCUUAGAUCUGGAGCACUACUAGCCAAGAAAGGUCUAAUAUUUUCUUUCUUUCUUUCUUUCUUUAUCUAAAUCAUGGAUAUUUCUAGUAUUUUUAAUAUGGUUUUUUUCUUGUUUUUUGAAAUUUGCAUUUAGGUCUAUCAAAUUUUGAUAAGAUAACCGAAUUUUAUUGGGUUUAAUUCCUUCAUUCAUUUUGGUUUGGUGUAGUAAUUUCUUAUUCAGGAUCUGCAAUUAAUGUUUUAAGCUUUUAUAAAGGAAUUUUAAAGAAGUUUGUGAGAUUAUAUGGAAAAUAUCUAUUAAAUAAGGCACUCUUUGAGCUCUCUAAUGGUAAAAAUAUGGUUACAAAAUGGUUGGAAAGAAUUUGAUGAGCAUUACUCAUUAACCCUCAGGUCCCUGCUGGUUUUUUAAUAUAAAAAUAAUUGUCAUUUUCUUGUUCUUAUAUUGGACAAGACUACUAUGGAAAUAGACUAUUCAUUUGGCAUCUCUACUGUGUUUCUUUUGAAGAAUUUAUCAACCAAGCUUGUGAUUAUGAAUAUUUACAUCAUUUCUAAUUGAAGAAUCAUGUUUUUCUCUUAUAUUUUACUUGUCAUCAUUAUAUAAGAAAUUUGUUUUCCUUUAUUGUUAGUGAUUCAUGGGAUUUGUUGCUAGAGCAAUUCACAAUCUAUUGUAUUGAUUAAUUUCCUCUUUGGUUAAGUAGAUAGCAUAAUAAGUUAUGUAAAUAAAUUCUUGCGUGUUGAACUUUCUAGAACGAAGUGGUUCGGUGGUUAGAACAUAACAUUUGAAAUGCCUAACAUGCAUGCCUAUACUUGAAAAUUAACUUAUCUCUCUUCUAUCUAGUUUAAGGAUUCCAGAAUGAUAUCUCUCAACAUGUAGCAAUAAAUUGCAAAGUUGUCACAUUUAAAGAUUUUUCACCACUUGUAAUUUCACCAUUUAAUAUAAAUGAUAUAAUUUGUACCCAAUUCAAAUUCUUUUAUAAUUUUUUUUUAUAUUAGAAAUCUACACUUUCAAGUAUAUUUGCUUUAUUUCAAUUUCUUUCUCAAUCCCAAUCACUUAAAAAACUCUCAUUGGAAUCUCAAUGUGAUAACCAUUUCAUUAAUCUCAUGUAUGAAGGGUACGACCAGAAGACACAGUUUUCACAAGAAAGUUAUGAUCUAGCCCACUCAAUAUUUUAAUCAAUUUGUUAUGUCAUCUCAAGAUCCAUGUGAAAAUUCACUUACAACUAAAGAGAUAAAACAAUCGAGCAACUUUAAGGAUGAAGAAGAUAUUUGCCUUAUAGAUGCAUGAAUCAACACUAGCAUGGAUCUAAUAUGUGAAAAUGAAUAAAAAAAAGUAAGGCAUAUCGGAAAAAAAUAUUCACGAUAACUACAACAAAAACAAGAAGUUUGUAUAUGAUCGUACAUCAAGUUCUCUAAUGCAUCAUUGGUCAACCAUUCAAUUAGUGGUGAAUAGUUUUUGUUCGCAAUAUGCAUAAAUAAAAAAUAGAAACUAAAAUGAUUUCACCUAUGAAGACAAUGUAUUGUUUAUAUAAAAUUCAUAUAUUUAAAUUCAUUUAAAUAUUAAUUUUUUAAAGUAACACAUUCCAAUGUGCUUUAAUAUUAGGUUAAUGAAGUGAAGAUUGCCUAUAGGAGUGAUCAUUUUUUAUUCAGUUCGGUUUUUACGUAUAGCAACAACCAAAACAAAAUUUUGAAGAAAAAAAAAAACCAAAACCAAUUCCAACCGACCAGUUUUGGCUUGGUUCGGUUCUUUAUGUCAAAAACUAAAAAAACCUAUAUUGUUUAUUUGGGCUUUUUUUUACUUUCUAAUGGGCUUUCUGAUGGGCUUGUAAUUGAUGUUAAUAUUGUCUAAUUUUCUUUAAAAAUUUCAAAAUAUAUUUAAUUUUUUUUGCCAUUGAAUAUUCAUUUAUAUUAAAUUGUUAGUUUCAAUCUUGAGUUUAAUAUAUUUUUUGUCUUCCUAAUAUUUUUCUUCUGGUUUGUUUGAAUGAGCAGGACUCUUGUUGUAAAAGAGUUUAAAUAACACAUAUCAAUAAGUUAAAAUCCAAAUUACAAAGCAUUGCCUUUAAAGGGCUUAAAAAAAAACAAAUAACAUUGUAAUAAAACACUCAAAGCCAAAAAAAUAAAUCUUCAAUGUGCACAUCAUCUUAAUAAAAAAAAUAACAUGGAAUAGUUAAUACUAUUGACAUUAAAACUUGGAAUUCAAAAUCUUGAAUUAUAACAUGAUAAAUUAAAUUAGAAGAUAUAAAAAUAAAAUGUAGUAUUUUUAUCAUACAUUUUCAAUAAAUGUCUCGAUUUUUAAACUAAUUAUCAUCCAUUGCUAGAUGUAACUUUUCAUCCAAUUCUACAAAAUAAAAAAUUACACAUGUUAUAAUGAAAAUGCAUAAAUUAAUAAAUCAUAAAAUAAAAGGUGUGAGUUUAUAAUAAAAAUUACCUGAUUCAAGGUUUUCGUAGGUUUUAAAAUCAUUCACCAAGGAUCUAAUAUCGGUUGGAAUUGGUUCAUGAUGCAACCAAUUUUGACAACAAAUAAGUGCUUGAACUAUUAUUGGAGAUAGAGAACUUCAAAAUUAGUCAAGUAUGCGACCACCUGUGCUAAAGGAUGAUUCGAAAGUCACUGUGGAUAUAGGAAUAGCUAGAACAUGUUGUGCAACCUUCCAAAGUAUAUAAUAUUUUGAAGCAUUACUCUUCCACUAACCCAAAAUAUCUAAUUUAUCGUUAUUAGGAUCCUCGCAAUCAUCAACCAAAUACCUCUCAACCUCAUUUAUAUUUUCCACAUUAUUUUCCUCUUGUAAAUGCCUUUUGAAUCGAGCUAAAGUGUUAACAUCUACCUCCAUGUAUUCAAUAACAUCGUUAACAUCUUAUUUAUGCCUAUUAUCAUCCACCACUUUAUUGGCUUUCAAAUAAAACUCAUACAAGCUCACCAAAUUAUCUUUCAUAUUUUUUAUUAGUAACUGUAUUUUGUCAUAAUCAUACAACUCACCAAAACAAAAUUUUACAUAUUUCAACUUGAGAUGUGGAUCCAAAACAUUAGUCAUAUACAAUAAAAAAAUCUGAUUUACUUCACAACCCCAAUACUUCUCAAACUUUAACAUCAUGUUCAUCGCUAUUCCACUUAAAAAAUUAUCUCUACUUUUACACAAUUGCAACAAGUUUGUAUGCAUAUAAAUUAAUUCAUUGAAUAAAGAAUUUUAUGUGAUAUACAAUGAGCUAGAAAAUCUCAAUGUAACCAUGUAAAAGAUCUUUAAGAACUUCAAUAAAGUUCUAGCAUUUUUCUAAUCCUCCAAACUAGGUGGCCCUAUGUUUUUUUUUUAUCCUCCUUUGAAUCAACCUCCAAAAAGUAACUCAUAUAUCUAGGUUUACUUUCACCUAACCUCACAAACACGUUUUCAAACUUUCAGCAUCUUCUAACAUAAGAUAAGUUGAAUUUCAUCAAGUUGCAACAUUCAAACACAAUGAUUUCUUACACUCUAUCUGCAACUUUUCUGCACAGUUCUUAAAUGCAAGUUACCUAGAAGGUGAAGAUCUCACAAAUUUAAUUGUAUUUUGAAUCGUAACAACUGAAACAUUAAUCUCUUUCAAGCCAUCACACACAAUGAGAUUUAUAAUGUGUGCACAACAUCUAAUAUGCAAAUUUUUAUUUGACAAUAUAUUAGUUGGCCAAUCUUUCAUCACAUUCUUUAAAUAUGAAAUAGUCACAUUAUUAGAGCUUGUAUUGUAUACUAUAACCAGUGUUUUUAAACCCGACCCGACGAUUGACUCGACUCAAGACCCGGGUCACGGGUUUUGACCAGGUCACCGGGUCAUCCAGGUCAACCAUAAUUUUUUUAUAAAUCAAAAUGAUGUUGUUUUGGUUAAAAAAAAAAUAGUCAACGGGUUACAACAGGGUUUUUGACCGGGUCUUGCCGGAUCAACCGGGUUAUUAGGCCAACCCGCCGGGUCAGCCGAGUUUUUGACUUCCCUUAUUUUUUUCAUAAAUCCGGCCUGGUUCCUACCCUAGGUCAGCUGGGUCCUAGGUUGACCCACCGAGCUGGGCCGGGUUUUAAAAAUAUGACUGUAACAAUCAAAAGUUUAUCAAUCCCCCACUCUAACAAACAAUUCUCAAUAACUUAACCAAUUGUCCCGCUUAUAUGAUUGCAAACUUGACAAAAAUUAAGAAUUUUUUUAUGAAAAUUCCACUAAUUAUCAAUCUAAUAAGUUGUUAAGGACAUAUAGUUAAUGUUUUGGAUUGAUAUUCAUGUAUCUAUUGUUAAGCAUAAUCGUUGACCCCUAAAAGUUGUCCUUAAUCUUCUAUUCUCUUCAACAUAAAGUUUUAAACAAUCUCUCAUAAUAUUGAAACGAGAAGAAAUGUCAAAUCUAGGUUACACAAUCCUAGAAAAUAAUCUAAAUCACUUACCCUUCAUAAAAUUAAAGGGCAACUCAUCAAUUAUAACCAUUUGUACUAGUGCUUGUCUACAUUCAUCAUAAUUAUAACUUAUUACCUUAAGAGUUCCCACAUUCCGGUCUCCUGAUUCACCCUUCUCUUUCUUAGAUUCUAAUACCAAUUUUUUUUGCUUCUUAUCAACCAUAAAAUGAAACUUUUUGCGUACUUUUAAAUGACUCCACAUAUUACUUGUCCCAUUAAUAAUAGUAUGACAUGCAUAAUUCUUUUCACAAUAAUUACAUUCAGCUCUAGGGGUUUUAGGAUCAUUAUUAAGUUUUGUAAAGUGAUCCUAAAUUUGUGACUUUUUUCUAUCAUCAACAUUUCUUUUCCUUGAUGUAAGGACUUGAGGUUGUUUACCAUUGCUAUCUGUGGCGGAUCCUGCAGUGGUUGAUGUUGGGUUAGUGUUUGAAGUUGGGGUAUUGGUUGAUGUUGGGGUAGUGUUAGUGGAUGAAGCAUUUUGAUUUUGAAAGUUUUCCAUAUGUAAUUACCAAAUGAAAACAUGUUAACAUUUAUGCAUGUUGAAAUGUGCAAUACAACUUUUAAAAAAGGUUGAUAGACGGGAUAAAGUGAUGAAAAACAUAGCAUUUACCAAACAAAGAACUCAAAAGAAUAAUUAAUUGCAAUGCGAUGCAACAAUCAACAACUAUGGGUAAAAGAACCUAAAAAAUAGAUAAGCAUAGGAAAAAAUCAAUUAGAAACAAUCAAGAAAGAAAAUAAAAGACUAAAAAACAAAACUGAAAUAAAGACUGCAUAAACCAGAAGAAACAAUAGACAACCAACUGGACUUGAAGCACAUAAACAACAACGAAUCUCGACAACCUCACUUGGAAAAAUAGCAAAAAGCUUUUGAAAACAAUAAAAACAAAGAACCAAAGCACAACAUGGUAGUGGAACAGAACACAAAGCAUGAAAAAAAGGAUUUAAACGGCAAACUAAAGCAAAAAAAAAAAAAACCUAAUGCGUGAUGAACAUGUAAAGAGACAAAAGCAAACAAAUAAAUAAAAAGAGAGCAGCAAGACUAGAAAUAACACACCACAAUUAAAAGAGAAAUCGAAGAGCAACAUGAACUGUUCUACAAAACUGCCCUGCACAAACUGCAUAGUUAUAGGAAAAUACAAACUAGAAAGGGUAAUUUUAUUAAAAUCUAAAAUAUGGUACACGUAGCUGUGUUUAUUCAGCCUAACAUCUAGUUUCUUUCCACUUUCUGUCAGUUUUUAAGGUUGUGUUUUUUUCCAUGUAAUUAUGGUGAUCAAUCAAAGAAAGACAUAAAAUAGUUAACCAAACUAUGAUAUGUUGUAAAAAUACCUUUGUGUUAUUAUUUUUUAUGACAUUAAAGGCAACCAAUCCAAGAUGAAAACAACUCCAAACAUUUAAAAGAAACACAAAAUCCACACCAGAAAAGUGAACAACUAGGCAACAUAAAAGUGUAUGAUGAAACAAAAUGAACAAAAAGCUAAACAAUAAUUGAGGCAAGAAUAGAAUCACGAAGCCAAUUGAGGCAAGGUUGGGCAAUAAAGAACCUUAGCACCUUAGCAACAUCAAUUCUUCCACAUACAAAAAGGUCACGUCUAAGUACCAUAUACUUGAGCAUAAAAAAAAAGAAGGAAAAGUAUCUAUUGUUAUAGCAACAAUAAGAGUUUCAUAUCCACAAUUAGAAUUAUCAAUAAGGGAAGAUUGGUUAGGCUAAAGACUUAGAUUUCAAGAGUGACGACUCAUAACAAACCAUGUGAUAGUCAACUCUCUACUGUUUAUAAAAUCAAAGGAAAUUAGGUGUUGAUUUUUUACGACAAGCACAUGUUGAUUUAACAGAAUUUAGAAACAUCGAGAAAUCAAAACAAUAUGACAAGCACAUGUUGAUUUAACAGAAUUUAGAAACAUCGAGAAAUCAAAACAAUAUGUCAGAGAAAAAAAUAACAGAGAGAGAAAUCUUACUUCAAAGAACUAAGGGUGUUUGGAUGGAAUGUUGCUGAGGCUUGGGGGUGUUGCUAGGAUUUUAGAUCCGGAGAUGCAAGUUGAAGAAUGAAGAUUGAAAGGCUAGGUGUGGCGUGUGGGAGUUUGGGUGGGAGUGGUUGGUUUGCUAGAUAUGGUGCUGACUGAUGAAGAUUAUGGAAUGAAAUGAACUAAUGAAGAUUGAAGAACGAAGAAUUGGGUGUGGACUUGUGAAUGUUGUAAUGGGAAGUUGUGAGGAUUGAGGAGGUGUGGCGUGUCUAUGUCUCUAAAUGGAGGGGGGACUGCUAAGGUUAUUGGGUUAGAAUAAAAAUCUUUUUUUUUAUAAUACCUUUUUUUUUAAUCUGAACUAGUUCGAUUCGGUUAGGGUUUAUCGGUUUCAGCAUUACAAAACCGAACCAAACCGGAAGUUUUUCUAAAUAUUCUAAUUGGUUUUUUUUCAUGGUUUGGUUUUUUUUCAUGGUUCGGUUUUUUAGGUUAUUUUUUUUUGUUUUCUCAGUUUAAUUGGUUUUUCAGUUUUUUUACUCACCCCUAAUUGCAUAUCAAAAAAUUUAAGAUCAACCAUUCUUAUUUCAACGUUGUUGAGAGAAAUUGAAGAGCUAACCUAAAUGGAUGAUUAAAAACUCAAAGAAGAAGUCAAAAAAUAUUAGAAAUGCAACUCCUGCAUCUUAUUCUCUUCUUACUCAAAGUUCAACCAACUUAGAAGAAGAUGAUGUUGUAUUUGGUGAAAACGACAAUAUAAAGAGAUCGAUAGAUAGUAGAAUUGGCUUAAGUUAAGGGCCACUUGAGCAAUGGCCCAAGACCCCCACUUAAUAAAAGCUCUAAGAAUAAGUAAGAGAUAUUUAUCAAUUAUGCUUUAUAAAUGAAGAUUGCUCCACUUAACAAAAGACCAUAAAUACAAAAUAAAGAUUGUCUAAGGCCUUACUUUGUCUAAGGCCUCCAUUCACUUUAAAUUAGCUCUGAUAGGUAGAUAGGCAACAACAAAAAACAAUUUUAAAAAAAACAAGGGUAGCAUAAGUUCUCAUAUUUGAUUGAUCUUAGAGGAUUAUAAAGAACAUGAAAUGAAAACGGAAUGUAAGAAGAUAAAAAAAAAAAGCAUAUGCUUUGGAGGAAAAUAAAGUAAUGACAAAAUAUAAAAAGGCAAAGUCAGAAUGAGACAAGAUUGUUAUUAUGCAAGAAAUUUUAUUGCAAUAACAACAAGAAAAGGAGAAAAUAAUAUUGACAGAUACGACAUACAUGCCUUGACAUUUGGUUGAAUAUCAUAAGAUGCAUCUAAUGAAGAUAUUAGUUAAACGAUGUAAUAAUAAUAUGAAAUAACAUAAACUAGAAUAUAAUAAAUAUCCUAAAAUGGAAAGGGGGAUGGGAACAAUGAUUUUAUUGUAGCACAAGACACAUUUCAUUGUGGAUUACAAAAUGAAAUUACUAUUUUGCCUCUCAUUCAAAUAACAAGUGGUCUUGGUUAUGAGAGUAUCAGGGUCUUUUGUUUUAUAAGAACAGUGAAAAUACUAAAAUUCCAUUGGAGAUAGAAAAUUAUAUGCCUUUAGUCCAAGGGUAUUAUCAAUUUUUUAUGUUUUAUAUUAUGUUUAGAUUACUAAAAUACCCUUUAAGUCAACAAAAUCAAAGCUUUCGGUCUAGGGAUAUUUAUGUCUUUUCAAGUUUUUUUUUCUGUUUUAUCAAAAGCAUUAUUGUGUUUUACCAUAAUUAUAUAAUAUUAAAUUUCAAAAAGUUGUUGGUGCUAGCGUGAGAGGCACCCCCACACUUUGGGCAGUGUGUGCAGCACCUCCUGAUGGUUGAGCCUGUACAUCCAUAGUGUGUUUAGAUGCUUCUUUUCGUCCUCUUUCAGGCGGUACGUCAUUGAUAGUUGGAUAGUUUGUCGCCGGUGAACUUUUCUUCUUCUUUUUUUCCUCUCUCCUCCCCCCAAAAAUUAAGUCUGGUCUUCUUUAAUUUUGAUAUUUGUGCUUUGGUCAUUCUUCUUUUGAUUUCUUAUUUGUAUCCCUAACUCUUUUAUAAGAGCUUAUUCAAUUUAGUUCUUCAAUUCAAAUUUGUAAUAUAUUAUACUUUUAAUUUGGUCUUUAAUUAUUUUAUUUUUGAUUUUUUUAAUUGACCCCUUUUAAAAUGUUUUUUUUUUAAUUUUAUCCUUCAAUCUAAGUUUAUUUUGUGUUACUAUUUUCAAUUUGGUCCUUAAUUUUUAUUUUUUUAAUUUGUUUUGUUGGAUUUAUUUUUCUUUAAUUUAACCCUCUAAAUGAAAAUUUAUGUCCUUUUUUCUUUUAAUUUAUUUUUUGUCUUUUUUUCUUUUGUACAAGUGUUAUUUCUUUUCAAUUUAGUCUUUCAAUUUCAAUUUUUCAUAUAUUCCUUUUUUUAUGUGGUCUUUAUUCUUUGGAUCUCUUUUUUUUUUAACCCAUUUAUAAAAGUUUUAUUGAUUUUUAAUCUCACCUUUCAGUCCAAGUUUAUGGUAUGUUAUUUUUUUAAUUUUUUCCUCAUUCUUUUAUUUUUUUUCUUUUUGUUUAAAUUAUUUUUAUUAUUAAUUUAACCCUCCAAUCAAACAAAUUUAGUUGUCCUCUAAUUUAUUUUUAAUUUUAAUUUCCAUCAUCAUUCUUUUAAUUACUAUUUUUUAUAUAUAUCCAUUUGUGUAGUUAUUAUUUUUCUGUGUUUGUUGUCUUGAUCCAAUUUUUUUAUUCCUUUUUUACCCAUCUAAUUUUGUGCUUUUGUUUUAUUUCUAGGGUAUCAUGAUUUUAAUUAAAAAAAUUAUCUAAUUAAUAUCAUUAUCUUUUUUAUUGUCUAAUAAAAUAAAAUUAAUUUAUUAAUUUCAGUCGGUCGGUCGGUGUUAUAAAUCAAAUCAUUAAUAAAAUUAUCUAAUUAAUAUCAUCAAACAUCGUAUUUUUGCUGAAAAUAUACGAGAUUAAUAGUAUGGUUGUUAAUAGUCUUAGGCUGUGGAUGCUGUAAAUACAAGUCACCAAGGAAACCUAGUAAGCCUAGUAAGCAAUAUUUUUCAACACUCAAACUAUAUAAAAGACCCAAGAGAGAUUAAUCCUUCUAUGUUUUCUGCUUCAAGAAAGGAUUUUGUUUCCCUUGUUUUAGUUUUAUUUGGACACAAAAACCUGACGUUAAGCUGCAAACUCGAGUUAACAACAACAAGAAUUUCUUAAAAAGAAAAGCCCUUUUUGAGAUUUGAAAAUCGGAGAAAGAUAGAUAGAUAUACAAGUAAUAAAAUUACCCUGCUGUCUUGCAACUGAUAAUAAACUACACUACCUUACUUUUCGCUUCCCAAAGAAAAUUUCAGCUCCCCAAAGGUUUUAUAACAGGUAAGAAAACACCUCUCCUGUUUAUUCUGUCGAGAAAAUCGAGGGUUUUUUUUUUAGAGGGAUAGUAUAAAAUAUUAUACCUUUCUUGGAGUGUCGUGAUCUUGUUGCCGUCAAAUUAUUGUCUCCGAGACAACAGUCUUUAGUUCUUCACUUGUUCUACUUUUGUUGUAUUGUUUCUUACAGACAUGCCUGAAAAAGGAGAUAGCCAAUCAUGGAUUUUUCACCGUUCAAACUUUGUGCUCCAAUGGCGUCUUCAUGUACUAGCAGCCUUUGUUUUCCUCGGCUUGGUGGUUAUUGGGAGCAUAGAUGGGGGUACCAUUAGAAGCAUCGUCGAAUCAAGAAGGUCCACGAAGCAAUAUUCGACCAUGAAACCUCACACACAACACCCUCUCACAAAUAUAACCCAGCAACAAGAAACCCUUCGAAAUUUCUCUGCAAUCACAAAAAAUGGCACCACCAAUACCCCAUUAGCCCAAGAGAGCAACGACAAGAAACCUCACACACAACACCCUCUCACAAAUCUAACCCAGCAACAAGAAACCCUUCAGAAUUUCUCUACAAUCACAAAAAAUGGCACCACCAAUAACCCAUUAGCCCAAGAGAGCAACGACAAUGAUACCAGGGUCCCACCUAGUUCUAACAUAGUACUGAAAAACAACGAGAAUGUUUCUUUUGCUCAGAAAUAUUCAGAUGGAGUUUUGGAGAAUUUAGCCUCACGAAGGAAUGGAUCAGAUGGUAGUGUGAAGUGGGUGUC
This 18187-nucleotide long non-coding RNA is filed under the name Populus trichocarpa (black cottonwood). Its description in RNAcentral is "long non-coding RNA (PTRI_LNC002207)". The record is from RNAcentral. Lineage: Eukaryota; Viridiplantae; Streptophyta; Magnoliopsida; Malpighiales; Salicaceae.